Molecule: ribosomal RNA, 250 nt
Filed under: uncultured bacterium
Lineage: Bacteria
Description: partial 16S ribosomal RNA
Rfam family: Bacterial small subunit ribosomal RNA
Source: RNAcentral
UAAGGAAUAUUGGACAAUGGGCGAAAGCCUGAUCCAGCCACGCCGCGUGCAGGAUGAAGGUCCUCUGGAUUGUAAACUGCUUUUGACAGAGACGAACGGUCGGGAUUUAUCUUGAAUUGACGGUAUCUGUCGAAUAAGCACCGGCUAACUACGUGCCAGCAGCCGCGGUAAUACGUAGGGUGCAAGCGUUAUCCGGAUUUACUGGGUUUAAAGGGUCCGCAGGCGGUUUGAUAAGUCAGUGGUGAAAUAA